UACGGAGGGUGCAAGCGUUAUCCGGAUUCACUGGGCUUAAAGGGUGCGUAGGUGGGCAAGUAAGUCAGUGGUGAAAUCUCCGGGCUUAACCCGGAAACUGCCAUUGAUACUAUUUGUCUUGAAUACUGUGGAGGUCAGCGGAAUAUGUCAUGUAGCGGUGAAAUGCUUAGAUAUGACAUAGAACACCAAUGGCGAAGGCAGCUGGCUAGACAAAUACUGACACUGAGGCACGAAAGCGUGGGGAGCAAACAGG
RNAcentral lists this ribosomal RNA (253 nucleotides) under uncultured bacterium. RNAcentral describes it as "partial 16S ribosomal RNA". It matches the Rfam family "Bacterial small subunit ribosomal RNA", at positions 524 to 776 of the family's 1533-position model. The record is from RNAcentral.